GAGGGCAUAGCUCAGGGGUAGAGCACAUGCUUAGCAUGCACGAGGUCCUAGGUUCAAUCCCCAGUCCCUCCA
Molecule: transfer RNA, 72 nt
Filed under: Camelus bactrianus (Bactrian camel)
Lineage: Eukaryota; Metazoa; Chordata; Mammalia; Artiodactyla; Camelidae
Also listed under: 1 other name
Rfam family: tRNA
About the family: Transfer RNA (tRNA) molecules are approximately 80 nucleotides in length. Their secondary structure includes four short double-helical elements and three loops (D, anti-codon, and T loops).
Source: Rfam by way of RNAcentral